UACGGAGGGAGCAAGCGUUACUCGGAAUCACUGGGCGUAAAGGGUGCGUAGGCUGUUUAAUAAGUCAGAAGUGAAAUCCCAUAGCUCAACUAUGGAACGGCUUUUGAAACUAUUAGACUAGAGUGAGGGAGAGGUAGAUGGAAUUAGUGGUGUAGGGGUAAAAUCCGUAGAGAUCACUAGGAAUACCGAAUGCGAAGGCGAUCUACUGGAACUCAACUGACGCUGAGGCACGAAAGUGUGGGGAGCAAACAGG
This 253-nucleotide ribosomal RNA is filed under the name uncultured bacterium. RNAcentral's name for it is "partial 16S ribosomal RNA". It matches the Rfam family "Bacterial small subunit ribosomal RNA", at positions 524 to 776 of the family's 1533-position model. The record is from RNAcentral.